CCCUUUCCUCCUUCCACCAUGUGAGAAUGCAGCAAGAAGGUGCCCUGUAUGAAGCAGAGGGCCCUCACCAGGCACCGAAUCCGGUGGCACCUUGAUGUUGAACUUCUCGGCCUUCAGAACUGUGACACAGAGAAUGAGUGGAAUACUAAUACAUUGAAGGGCAAAAUCAAAACCCCAGAAGAUCUCUAAAAGUCUGAAUGAAUCAGCCCAUAUUACAAGAUAAAGUCCAUAAUGGUAAACGGAAGGCUCUGGUCUUGGUUUACAAAAUCCAACCACUCAAAUAUGUAGUUGCUGGAAGUUUUGUGGCCAUGGGGAUGCUGACAAAGAUUGCUUGGGAUGCACACAAGGCAGCGGCGAAGCCUGAGGGGUGCUGCCAGGCCGGGCUCUCCACUGGCCACGAAUUUGUACAUAUGGCUUUGGAAACCUCAUCCAACACUAAGUAAUGAACAUACAUGAGGAUACUAUGUAUUUUUCAACCUGCAAGCCCAAGAUUUCAAAUUCUUUGGUUUAUCGCAGAGAACACAUCUCUCAAAUUGUCUUCAAGGAGCACUGCAGGAGAAAGUCCUGGCAACUUGGCGCAGCGAAUUUGAUCAGCACCAUACGUACGACCUGUCUCAGGAACGGUGCCAUGUGUGUGACUAGGACUGCAAAGCAGCUUGUGUUCGUGGGGGAAAUGACAGGCACAGGAAGGAAAAGCUGAGAACACUGAAACGGUUCCUAAUCGUGCAGUGGGGAAAGGAGGGCGACUGCCGCGCAGAGUGGCACGUUGGCUGGAAGAGGGGAUUGAUCAGCAGUGCUGGCAGGAACAGCAUAGGCUUGUCGUGUGAUCUAACAGAAGAGGCAGCAAUCUGGAGGCGCCCCAGAUCAGAGAAGAGACAUCAAGCCCCAGGAGAAAUGGAUUUCCUUUCUCCCCACCCAUCAGCUGGGUAGGAAGCCCGAAGGAGCCUUUCAUGGAACUAUGGGAAGGGCUCCUCUGACGCAGAGGGGAUGAACUGGAAGCAAGAUGCUGACUGUUUCCAAAGGCUUGACAGUCAGAAGCAGGCAGGCUUCAGCCUAUUGAGAUACUUUACCCAAGAGGAUUUCCGCUUAGGUUCUGUCUUGAAAGAAAUAUUCGCUCCCAAAUUUCCUCCCAUCAAGAGUGCUUCUCCCUACAGAAGGCUAAGGCUCACAGGUUGUCCCCAGGGACACAUUUCUUUCAAGUAGGAUGACUGGUAUGUUUAGACUGAAAAGCUGAUUUACUGGAAGAUUGCUAUCACCCCCUGGCCUACCAUGUCGUUGGUGUGGCCAGUGUUUAUCAGACAGUGGUGUUUCCAGCUUAGGCCUGAAUGGAAGAAGAAACUGAAAGAAGAAAUAAAAAGAGAGAUGCGCCGGGCAUGGUGGCUCAUGCCUGUAAUCCCAGUGCUUUGGGAGGCCGAGGUGGCAGACCACUUGAGGUCAGGAGUUCAAGACCAGCCUGGCCAACAUGGUGAAACCCCGUCCCUACUAAAAAUACAAAAAAUUAGCUGGGUGUGGUGGCGUGUGCCUGUGGUCCCAGCUACUCCGGAGGCUGAGGCAGGAGAAUUGCUUGAACCCGGGAGGCGGAGGUUGCAGUGAGCCAAGAUUGUACCACUGCACUCCAGCCUGGGCAACAGAGUGAUACUCUCUCAAACAAGACAAAACAAACAAAAAAGAGGAG
Molecule: long non-coding RNA, 1675 nt
Organism: Homo sapiens (human)
Lineage: Eukaryota; Metazoa; Chordata; Mammalia; Primates; Hominidae
Exons: 5
Source: RefSeq, a predicted model, not a curated record